Long non-coding RNA from Panthera uncia (snow leopard), 599 nucleotides. RefSeq lists it as uncharacterized. NCBI's taxonomy places the organism in Eukaryota, Metazoa, Chordata, Mammalia, Carnivora, Felidae. The transcript has 2 exons. The record is from RefSeq and is a predicted model, not a curated record.
GUCUUUUGGAGUACCCUGCCGCUUAGUAAUCUCAUCUUUUGUCCUUUGACAGGCCUCCUUGAAGGCCCAACUCUGAGCGCUUUCUGGGCAGCUCUUGACUCGAACUCCACUGCGGCCCUUCACUGAUGGCAGCCAUGUUAGUUGCAUCCGGGUAUGUCGAGGAGCCCCGACCAAAGUCUCCCGGAAGUGACGCGAGCGCGGAGGGAUUCUCGUUCGGCUGAGGUGAAGGGGCUCCGGAAGCGGGUGCGGUAGAGACGGUGACAGGAAAGGACAAACUACAGGAAAGUGCUCUACAGAUGGUUCUAAGAAGUCUUCGAUGAAGCUAAAGAGAGCAGAUUUCUCUAGUGUGUCGCCACCAUCCCCCUCUGGAGACUUGGGAAGCAGAAGGAUAGCAGUGAGACAGAGUGAAGCUGACAUGCAUAGAGAAGCUGGGGUAAGAGACCGAUGGAAAGAGAUCUGAAAAUUUUUAUAUCUUUGUUUCUGGGAGUUUCUGAGACCCAGUAUCCUUUCUGCCCUUUCAGUAGUUGUGUGUUCAAGUUUUCCUUUCAUUACAAAGGAUAUCAGACCUUAAUAUUUUUCUAAUAAAUCUAUCUUUUUCA